This is a long non-coding RNA of Diorhabda sublineata, 1352 nucleotides long. RefSeq lists it as uncharacterized. The record is from RefSeq and is a predicted model, not a curated record. The transcript has 3 exons. NCBI's taxonomy places the organism in Eukaryota, Metazoa, Arthropoda, Insecta, Coleoptera, Chrysomelidae.
AACGAUUUGUACUGUGCAGUCAAGAAAAUUUUAAAGUGCUCUUAAUAUUCAAAGUUAAGUGCUCUUGAUCAAUCGUCCCAUGUAGUAUCUUCACCAAAAAUCAAGCAGAAAACAAUAUAAUGCAUUGGUUACAACUACAAAUCCAAACAUUUUUGGCAAAAAUAUCUUGAGUAAUGGUCUACUUUACAAAAUGAUAUUUAUUAAGUUAAAAAAAACUUUCAUAGAUUACUCGACGGCGACCUUGAAUGUAGAGUCAAAAAUAAUUAUACGAGGAUUGUAUGAAAUCUUAUCAAAACCAUUUGAGAAUGCAUAACGAUUAAUUUAAAAUUUUUUUACCUAAGAUUAUAUAUAUUAACAGGAUCAAGGUGGAAAUGUCAUAGAGUUAAAAUUAAAUAUAUAUAGAGAGAGGUGUGCAUACUAGUGUUAGAGGAAGAGAGAACUUCAGUAAACUACUCUCUACUCUAUUCUGAUUGGAUAACCAUGACGUCCAAGUUUCGAAUGGUGGAAAUAGUAAAGGAAUAAGAAGCAAAAAGAGAGGGAUAGGGAGUGGUACACUGAUGCUAUUUCUCUCUCUUACAAUAGUAUAAUUUGACUUCCAACAGUAUAAUUACUUACUAUUUUUUAUGGAGUAGCGGGAAACUUUGCUAGCUCUGUUUAUGGAUUUAUAAUUUGUUGAAACUAGUCAGGAUUCGCUUUAAAGCAGGAAGUUUUUAUCAUUUGUGCUCUAGCCAGAGGUUUCAGUGUUCGAGGCUUAGGAAACUUGGAAAUAUCAAAGUUCACGCCAUCCAAGCUAGAUGAAGACUUCGAUACAGCGGAUUUUUCGCGAAAGUACACCAAGAUCGCAGAUGACGCCAAUGUAACCUGGAGUGGUCGAGAUAUACAAGCUUUAUAUUCUACCAUAGGCAAACAUCUUAUUAGUAUCAAGUCCUGGUCUAACGCGAACAGUUUUUGUUUAAACACUGAGAAAACUUUACCAGCUCUAAAACUCUUAAUACAGCGGAUACAGCGGAUUCUUCGCGAAAGUACACCAAGAUCGCAGAUGACGCCAAUGUAAUCUGGAGUGGUCGAGAUAUACAAGAUUUAUAUUCUACCAUAGGCUAACAUAUUAUUAGUAUCAAGUCCUGGUUUAAAGCGAACGGUUUUUGUUUAAACACUGAGAAAACUUUAUCAGCUCUAAAACUCUUAAUAUGAUCCUCAAAUUCGAUCAAGUUUCUUGGUCUACAUAUUGACGGUCCACUUCAAUGCUCUGUACAUGUAGAAAAUUUUGCAAAAAAAUAUCUUCUGCUUGUUUUAUCAUAGAUCCUUUGUGUUGUGAUUGCAAUAAAAUCUGUAUAUAUUCAGUUUCUCAGAAA